GGCCUGGUGGUCUAAGGGUAUGAUACUCGCUUAACGUGCGAGUGGUCCCGGAUUCGAAUCCAGGCCAGGCCC
RNAcentral lists this transfer RNA (72 nucleotides) under Rodentolepis nana. Its description in RNAcentral is "Hymenolepis nana tRNA". It matches the Rfam family "tRNA". Rfam says of the family: Transfer RNA (tRNA) molecules are approximately 80 nucleotides in length. Their secondary structure includes four short double-helical elements and three loops (D, anti-codon, and T loops). Further hydrogen bonds mediate the characteristic L-shaped molecular structure. tRNAs have two regions of fundamental functional importance: the anti-codon, which is responsible for specific mRNA codon recognition, and the 3' end, to which the tRNAs corresponding amino acid is attached (by aminoacyl-tRNA synthetases). tRNAs cope with the degeneracy of the genetic code in two manners: having more than one tRNA (with a specific anti-codon) for a particular amino acid; and 'wobble' base-pairing, i.e. permitting non-standard base-pairing at the 3rd anti-codon position. Lineage: Eukaryota; Metazoa; Platyhelminthes; Cestoda; Cyclophyllidea; Hymenolepididae. The record is from Rfam by way of RNAcentral.